UUUCCUUCUCAAAACACUCUUCCGCCUUGGCUUUCUCAACACUAUUCUCAUUAUCUCCUGUUUUCCCCUCCUUUGCUGGUUUGCACACCUCAUCCAAAUAUUAAUAGAAAUGCAAUGGCUCUUUAGGGCCAAAAUUGGGUGCUCUUUCCUCUCUCCCAUCCAUUCCAAUGGCUUUAUGUACUCCCUGUAUACUGAUUACUCCAAAAUUAACAUCGCCAGCUCAGACCUUUGCAGUCAUCUUUCAUAUCAUGUUUGUCCUUAACUAUCAGAAAGUCUACCCGACUCUAUCUCCAAGCGACGUCUUUUUGGAUCCGUUCUCCUCUCUCUGCUGCAGUCUCUAUUAUUACUUCUUACCCAAAACAGUUUUGCGGGUGGACUUCUGUCUACCAGUUUUUCCCCUCUCCAAUCUAUUUCCUACUCAGUAGCAAAGUACUCAGAUCACAUCAUCUCCUGCAAGACCUUACUGUGUUACUGAUCUCUCCACUAAGACCUGCAAGAUGCUGUGUGAUCUGGGUUCCGCUUCUCUCUCCAACUUCAUCCAGCAAUGGCUUGGGCCACACUGUAACUGCAGGUCCUGGCAAACACCAAGAUAUUUCCCUCAACGGAAAUUCCCCUCCUCCCACUCUUUACAACCUAGUUUCUUCUCUUACUUCAGGUCUCCGUUUUAUUGUCACCUCUUUAGAGAGGCUUUUCCACUUCUGGGAGACAGCAAGGGGCUCCACCAGAAGCAUGUCUCUGAUUCACAAACUAAAUGGUCCAGAGCCAUAUCCCCUCUAUCUGGCCCUUACACGCCAAGAGACAAUAUUCCUCUGCUGUAGUCAUCCCAGAACUAGGUGCCAGGAAACUAGCAACUACCUCAUAGCCUCAAACCUGCCAAAAUUAUUCAAACUAGCCAAUCCUAAGUAGUUCAGCCUAGCCUGCACACUGGCAACCCACUCCAGUAUUCUUGCCUGGAGAAUCCCAUGGACAGAGGAGCCUGGUGGGCUACCGUCCAUAGUAUCACA
RNAcentral lists this long non-coding RNA (1004 nucleotides) under Bos indicus x Bos taurus (hybrid cattle). Its description in RNAcentral is "lncRNA (ENSBIXG00000025419.1)". Lineage: Eukaryota; Metazoa; Chordata; Mammalia; Artiodactyla; Bovidae. The record is from RNAcentral.